Molecule: ribosomal RNA, 434 nt
Filed under: uncultured bacterium
Lineage: Bacteria
Description: bacterial SSU rRNA
Rfam family: Bacterial small subunit ribosomal RNA
Source: RNAcentral
CAGUAAGGAAUAUUGGACAAUGGGCGGAAGCCUGAUCCAGCCAUGCCGCGUGAAGGACGAAGGCGCUCAGCGUUGUAAACUUCUUUUGGAUGGGAACAAUAACCGAGACUUGUCUUGGCUUGAGGGUACCAUCAGAAUAAGCACCGGCUAACUCCGUGCCAGCAGCCGCGGUAAUACGGAGGGUGCAAGCGUUAUCCGGAAUCACUGGGUUUAAAGGGUGCGCAGGCGGUCUGAUAAGUCAGUCGUGAAAUCGCUGGGCUCAACCCAUGCAAUUGCGAUUGAUACUGCCAGACUUGAAUGGGGUUGAGGCUGGCGGAAUGCGGCAUGUAGCGGUGAAAUGCUUAGAUAUGCCGCAGAACACCGAUUGCGAAGGCAGCCAGCUGGGCCUUUAUUGACGCUGAGGCACGAAAGCGUGGGGAGCAAACAGGAUUAGA